Non-coding RNA from Ceratobasidium sp. 414, 87 nucleotides. NCBI's taxonomy places the organism in Eukaryota, Fungi, Basidiomycota, Agaricomycetes, Cantharellales, Ceratobasidiaceae. The record is from the annotation of a GenBank genome assembly.
GACCGCUUAGCUCAGUGGUAGAGCGUGUGAUUCCAGCUGAUUUUAAGCGCCUCCACAAGGCCAUCCGUUCAACUCGGGUAGUGGUCA